GCGUAAGGUCCCUCGGGCUGGCCCCAGCAGCGCCGAAUGCACUCGCGACAGAAGUUGUGGCCGCAGUCUGUCAUCACGGGGUCGGUGAAGUAGUCGAGGCAGAUAGCGCAGGUGGCUUCCUCCUGGAGGUUAAGUCAAGAAUCUUCUUUACUUGCCAUCCUCACAUGGUGACAAGGCCAAAGUGGAAAUAGCCUUGGUUAAAGGAAUCCUACAACAUUCUGAAGAUCCUCAGAGUUUGUGGCCAUGGGACAUGCUGCAUCUCUCUUAUCCCUGAAAGUAUGGGCCAUUAUCACGCUCUUAGAAUUCUAUUUUUCCAUAAAUUUUAAAUAAAUAAAUAAAUAAAUAAAUAACAGAAGCUUUUCAGUCCUCCUAGGAAUUCCUUAUCAGAGCUGGCUCAGAGUCAGCCUCCAACAUUAAUCAAAAUGACCACUGGAAUGUCCCUAGCUGCUGAAGGUUCCAGUGUAUACCGCAUUUUGGGUAUACACAAAUUAUCACUUGGAAAGUAAAGUUGCUCCCUUUAAACAUGUUGAGUCUUUGUUUCUGAUUGAAUGCUGCCGUACCAGGAUGAGAAUUGAACAACUGAUUAUGGUUUUAUUU
Perognathus longimembris pacificus (Pacific pocket mouse) is the source of this 597-nucleotide long non-coding RNA. RefSeq lists it as uncharacterized. The record is from RefSeq and is a predicted model, not a curated record. The transcript is spliced from 2 exons. Lineage: Eukaryota; Metazoa; Chordata; Mammalia; Rodentia; Heteromyidae.